Molecule: ribosomal RNA, 497 nt
Filed under: uncultured bacterium
Lineage: Bacteria
Description: partial 16S ribosomal RNA
Rfam family: Bacterial small subunit ribosomal RNA
Source: RNAcentral
GACGAACGCUGGCGGCGUGCCUAAUACAUGCAAGUAGAACGCUGAAGAGAGGAGCUUGCUCUUCUUGGAUGAGUUGCGAACGGGUGAGUAACGCGUAGGUAACCUGCCUUGUAGCGGGGGAUAACUAUUGGAAACGAUAGCUAAUACCGCAUAACAAUGGAUGACACAUGUCAUUUAUUUGAAAGGGGCAAUUGCUCCACUACAAGAUGUACCUGCGUUGUAUUAGCUAGUAGGUGAGGUAAUGGCUCACCUAGGCGACGAUACAUAGCCGACCUGAGAGGGUGAUCGGCCACACUGGGACUGAGACACGGCCCAGACUCCUACGGGAGGCAGCAGUAGGGAAUCUUCGGAAAUGGGGGCAACCCUGACCGAGCAACGCCGCGUGAGUGAAGAAGGUUUUCGGAUCGUAAAGCUCUGUUGUAAGUCAAGAACGGGUGUGAGAGUGGAAAGUUCACACUGUGACGGUAGCUUACCAGAAAGGGACGGCUAACUACGUG